RNAcentral lists this long non-coding RNA (766 nucleotides) under Heterocephalus glaber (naked mole-rat). RNAcentral's name for it is "lncRNA (ENSHGLG00100051777.1)". Lineage: Eukaryota; Metazoa; Chordata; Mammalia; Rodentia; Bathyergidae. The record is from RNAcentral.
GUGCAGUAAGAAGGUGGUACAGGACAGGGCUGGGGGUCCCUGGGGGUGACAGCCAGGCCCAGGUGCUGGGCAGGUACAGAGGGCAGGGCUGUUGCUGAACUCGAGCGAUCUGAAGUGCCAGACACAGGGCCAGGGGUCCAAAACACAAAACAAACGCAAAGGCACCCCCAGAGGAAAAGCCCAGAGUCUAAAUUUUAAACAGGAAGAAGCAGGCGUCGGGCUCCGAGGAAGAUAACAGGCCCAGGAGGGAACACAGCAACAGCGGAGUGCAGAGCAGGCCUGGGGAGGGCAGGGCGUCCAUGCUGAGCCGCCUGCCUGGCUCCAGGUGCCAGGCCUGGGCUCUGCCCACCACACAGAGGGCCCCAGCCGGCCAGUAUCAGGGGCACACAGGUCCUUCAACAGGCCACGGCAUCCAGUGAAUCAAAAACAAAAAUAACCCUUACGGAGCCAGCCGUGGUGGUGCACACUUGUGAUCCUGGCAUUCAGGAGGCUGAGGCAGGAGGAAUGUUUGUUGAAGAUGGAACUAAGGGCCUCUUGCCUGUUGGGGAGCACCCCAGCCACGACCUUCGGACCAAAACCUUGACAAUGACCAGAGAUUGCUUCACAGUGAGAAAAUACUUUCAAAAUUAUAAACUUAGUACCAAUCACGCUUUGAGAAGAAGCAAGAUAUAUCAUGUACAGGUGUAAAUCCCCUAUAAUGAAUGUUAUCAUUAUGUAUAUCUAAAAUGUAUCAAUAAAUGUUUUGCUUUAAAAGAAAAAAAAGAAA